This 253-nucleotide ribosomal RNA is filed under the name uncultured bacterium. RNAcentral's name for it is "partial 16S ribosomal RNA". It matches the Rfam family "Bacterial small subunit ribosomal RNA", at positions 524 to 776 of the family's 1533-position model. The record is from RNAcentral.
GACGAACCGUGCGAACGUUGUUCGGAAUCACUGGGCUUAAAGGGCGCGUAGGCGGGUGUGCAAGGCUGCGGUGAAAGCCUCCAGCUUAACUGGAGAAGUGCCGUGGAUACUGCAUAUCUUGAGGAGGGUAGGGGCAUCUGGAACAUUGGGUGGAGCGGUGAAAUGCGUUGAUAUCCAAUGGAACUCCGGUGGCGAAGGCGAGGUGCUGGACCCUUUCUGACGCUGAGGCGCGAAAGCCAGGGGAGCAAACGGG